This 253-nucleotide ribosomal RNA is filed under the name uncultured bacterium. Its description in RNAcentral is "partial 16S ribosomal RNA". It matches the Rfam family "Bacterial small subunit ribosomal RNA", at positions 524 to 776 of the family's 1533-position model. The record is from RNAcentral.
UACAGAGACUGCAAGCGUUAUUCGGAUUCACUGGGCGUAAAGGGUGCGCAGGCGGCCAAGUGUGUGAGGCGUGAAAGCCCGGGGCUUAACCCCGGAAUUGCACCUCAAACUACAUGGCUAGAGCAUUGGAGAGGGUAGCAGAAUUCAUGGUGUAGCAGUGAAAUGCGUAGAUAUCAUGAGGAAUACCAGAGGCGAAGGCGGCUACCUGGACAAUUGCUGACGCUCAGGCACGAAAGCGUGGGGAGCAAACAGG